Molecule: transfer RNA, 75 nt
Filed under: bacterium
Lineage: Bacteria
Description: tRNA-Arg
Rfam family: tRNA
About the family: Transfer RNA (tRNA) molecules are approximately 80 nucleotides in length.
Source: RNAcentral
GUCUCCAUAGUUCAAUGGAUAGAACGAGGGACUCCUAAGCCCUAGAUAGUGGUUCGAUUCCACUUGGAGACGCCA